RNAcentral lists this long non-coding RNA (735 nucleotides) under Bos taurus (domestic cattle). RNAcentral's name for it is "long non-coding RNA NONBTAT026555". Lineage: Eukaryota; Metazoa; Chordata; Mammalia; Artiodactyla; Bovidae. The record is from RNAcentral.
AGUGUUGUGUUACAAUCAGUGUUGGCCAUUAUUUCAUCCGUGGGCCUGUUGCUCUCUAAGAAUUCAGUACCGUUUUACUAGUUUGUUAACCAUGAAAGGUUUUCAAACAUUACUAAAGUCAGACUAUUAAGUCUAUGCUGUGUGCAGAGUAUACAAGUGUUUCCAGUAACUAUAUUUCCAUGUGUGUCCAUUUCGCACAAUUGUGGAUCUAUUUCUGAAGAUUUCAUAAUGCUAUUUUUUAUGCCUGACAGUUACUUACACACUUUAGAGUAUCUUGAAAUCGGUGAAGGCAGAAUCCAAAUUUCUAAAAUCCCCGGUGUGUGUCCUCAACACGCAGCAUAGAUAAAUCCAACAAUCUGCCACAAGGGCAGUGGGAGAGAUGCUGUAUUUGAGGAAACUCAUACAGUCCCUAAGUGGUUUGCAACACUGCCAAAUGCCAGUCAAUUGCUUGAGCAUGCCCAAUUAUAACAUGAAAGUAAAGUCUACCUGCUCUGUCGAACUGCAUGUUAAAAACAAUUAUAUGAAAUUGAAUGAGACCUAAUUCUUACUGAAACGAAAAUGUCUGAAGAAACAUAGCAUGCAUUAAGCAUGAGUUCUGCACAUAUAUGGUGUCCUGCAUGUAUGCCAUGUAUGUUGCAUAAAUCCAUCGAUUUGUAUUAAUGUAAGGCAGAGUAGGUGUUAUAAGAAUGACUUAAAUGCACAUCCUUUGGCAGUCUUUAAAAAGACCAUGCGAUC